UAGGAGACAGAGGAUGGUCGCGAUAGC
Molecule: small RNA, 27 nt
Filed under: Bombyx mori (domestic silkworm)
Lineage: Eukaryota; Metazoa; Arthropoda; Insecta; Lepidoptera; Bombycidae
Description: ovarian small RNA-22655
Source: RNAcentral